Molecule: transfer RNA, 68 nt
Filed under: Eucyclogobius newberryi (tidewater goby)
Lineage: Eukaryota; Metazoa; Chordata; Actinopteri; Gobiiformes; Gobiidae
Description: tRNA-Ser
Source: RNAcentral
GAGAAAGGCUUGCAAGCAACAAAGACUGCUAACCCUCGUGCCCUCGGUUGGAUUCCGAAGCUCUCUCG